UAGGGUACUGACAUUGAAUGAGU
This 23-nucleotide microRNA is filed under the name Haemonchus contortus (barber pole worm). Its description in RNAcentral is "hco-miR-5884". Lineage: Eukaryota; Metazoa; Nematoda; Chromadorea; Rhabditida; Trichostrongylidae. The record is from miRBase by way of RNAcentral.